This 347-nucleotide long non-coding RNA is filed under the name Carica papaya (papaya). RNAcentral's name for it is "long non-coding RNA (CPAP_LNC001958)". The record is from RNAcentral. Lineage: Eukaryota; Viridiplantae; Streptophyta; Magnoliopsida; Brassicales; Caricaceae.
CCGUUUAGAUUCCCUUCAAGAGGAAUCGUUUGGAGCAGACUUUGUAUUUUGUUUUAAACUUUGAGGCUAGUUUUUAUAAUUAUGCUAUCUAAUAUUUUGUAUUCUAAAAGGUAGAUGGCAUGAUUGCCUCAGGAUACAGUCUUUUGUAAAUUUUUUAUGGAAUCUAUACUUCUACUGCAAUGUAAAUAUCUAUCUUAUGUUUGCUCAUUUGGACGUUGGUGCCCUGUUUGGCAUUAGGACGUCACAUUUCUUUUCUUUUCUUUUCAUUUAUACGCAAUGGAGCAAGGAUAGAAGCAUUAUUGAUGUAGUAUAUGUAAAAAUUCAGUCUAGUUAGGAUGAAGAUGAAG